UACGUAGGGUGCGAGCGUUGUCCGGAAUUAUUGGGCGUAAAGAGCUCGUAGGCGGUUUGUCGCGUCGGCCGUGAAAACUUGGGGCUUAACCCCAAGCCUGCGGUCGAUACGGGCAGACUUGAGUUCGGCAGGGGAGACUGGAAUUCCUGGUGUAGCGGUGGAAUGCGCAGAUAUCAGGAGGAACACCGGUGGCGAAGGCGGGUCUCUGGGCAGUAACUGACGCUGAGGAGCGAAAGCGUGGGGAGCGAACAGG
Molecule: ribosomal RNA, 253 nt
Filed under: uncultured bacterium
Lineage: Bacteria
Description: partial 16S ribosomal RNA
Rfam family: Bacterial small subunit ribosomal RNA
Source: RNAcentral